Molecule: long non-coding RNA, 203 nt
Filed under: Elaeis guineensis (African oil palm)
Lineage: Eukaryota; Viridiplantae; Streptophyta; Magnoliopsida; Arecales; Arecaceae
Description: long non-coding RNA (EGUI_LNC034744)
Source: RNAcentral
GGAUAUGGAUGGAUGAGAUGAAAUCAUGGAAGAGGUGUGAUGAAAGGGGAAGAGGGCGUAGGGUUUUUCUUAAAAAAAUUUCCAAAGGAAUUCUUUUGCGUGGCCGCACUUCGUGCCUUUUUCCGCAUUCAAGCUUGCAUCUCACAAGGUCUGCUUCUACACUUGAUCACCUUACCAAAUCCACAGUCCUAGGGAAAAUGCCA